AACGAACGCUGGCGGCAUGCCUAACACAUGCAAGUCGAACGAGACCUUCGGGUCUAGUGGCGCACGGGUGCGUAACGCGUGGGAACCUGCCCUUAGGUUCGGAAUAACUCCCCGAAAGGGGUGCUAAUACCGGAUAAUGUCUUCGGCCCAAAGAUUUAUCGCCUUUGGAUGGGCCCGCGUUGGAUUAGCUAGUUGGUAGGGUAAAAGCCUACCAAGGCGACGAUCCAUAGCUGGUCUGAGAGGAUGAUCAGCCACACUGGGACUGAGACACGGCCCAGACUCCUACGGGAGGCAGCAGUGGGGAAUAUUGGACAAUGGGCGAAAGCCUGAUCCAGCAAUGCCGCGUGAGUGAUGAAGGCCUUAGGGUUGUAAAGCUCUUUUAACCGGGAUGAUAAUGACAGUACCGGGAGAAUAAGCUCCGGCUAACUCCGUG
Molecule: ribosomal RNA, 433 nt
Filed under: uncultured bacterium
Lineage: Bacteria
Description: partial 16S ribosomal RNA
Rfam family: Bacterial small subunit ribosomal RNA
Source: RNAcentral